CGACCCCGCCCCCCCCGGCCUCAGCUGCUGCGCACGCCCUCCGCGGGGGGGUGAUGUCGCCCCUUUCCUUCAUCUGACCGCAAAUGAUAAAGGGAGAGAAAUCACCCCAAGCGGGAUCCCUGAACUUUGGAGAUCUCUUGUGCCCAUUCUCGCGGAGAGGAGCGAGUUUCCUCUGGGAUGGGAGAAAUCCGGAUAUACUGUGGCAUUCCUCCCACCUGCCAGUCUGAUAACCUGAUCUGAAGAUCCUGAGAUGAGCUCGGUUUGGCUUUAGAGCAUCCAAGUUGACGUAAGCUCCGUGCAGUCUUUGCUAAGUGCCUACAGAUCUCACGUCACUUGAUCCUCAGCGUAUUCAUGCAAAAAUGUUCACAGCAGCUUUAUUUACAAUAGCUGAAGACUGAAAAUGACUCAUAUUUCAUCAACAAGAAACUUCCUGGUGGCGCAGUGGUUAAGAAUCUGCCUGCCAAUGCAGGGGACAGGGGUUUGAGCCCUGGUCUGGGAAGAUCCCACAUG
Long non-coding RNA from Aethalodelphis obliquidens (Pacific white-sided dolphin), 510 nucleotides. RefSeq lists it as uncharacterized. NCBI's taxonomy places the organism in Eukaryota, Metazoa, Chordata, Mammalia, Artiodactyla, Delphinidae. The record is from RefSeq and is a predicted model, not a curated record. The transcript is spliced from 3 exons.